RNAcentral lists this ribosomal RNA (200 nucleotides) under uncultured bacterium. RNAcentral's name for it is "partial 16S ribosomal RNA". It matches the Rfam family "Bacterial small subunit ribosomal RNA", at positions 328 to 539 of the family's 1533-position model. The record is from RNAcentral.
ACGCUCGACACCUACGGAGGCAGCAGUGGGGAAUAUUGCACAAUGGGGGAAACCCUGAUGCAGCGACGCCGCGUGAAGGAAGAAGUAUUUCGGUAUGUAAACUUCUAUCAGCAGGGAAGAAAAUGACGGUACCUGACUAAGAAGCCCCGGCUAACUACGUGCCAGCACGCCGACGGUAAUCUGAGGCGGGCUGGCAAGGC